GAUGAACGCUGGCGGCGUGCCUAAUACAUGCAAGUCGAGCGAACGGACGAGAAGCUUGCUUCUCUGAUGUUAGCGGCGGACGGGUGAGUAACACGUGGAUAACCUACCUAUAAGACUGGGAUAACUUCGGGAAACCGGAGCUAAUACCGGAUGAUAUUUUGAACCGCAUGGUUCAAAAGUGAAAGACGGUCUUGCUGUCACUUAUAGAUGGAUCCGCGCUGCAUUAGCUAGUUGGUAAGGUAACGGCUUACCAAGGCAACGAUGCAUAGCCGACCGGAGAGGGUGAUCGGCCACACUGGAACUGAGACGCGGUCCAGACUCCUAAGGGAGGCAGCAGUAGGGAAUCGUCCGCAAUGGGCGAGAGCCUGACGGAGCAACGCCGCGUGAGUGAUGAAGGUCUUCCGAUCGUAAAGCUCUGUUAUUAGGGAAGAACAUAUGUGUAAGUAACUGUGCACAUCUUGACGGUACCUAAUCAGAAAGCCACGGCUAACUACGUG
This 497-nucleotide ribosomal RNA is filed under the name uncultured bacterium. RNAcentral's name for it is "partial 16S ribosomal RNA". It matches the Rfam family "Bacterial small subunit ribosomal RNA", at positions 28 to 507 of the family's 1533-position model. The record is from RNAcentral.